AGGAGGUGUACUAUAGGAGGCAUAUUAUAGGAGGUGUAUUAUAGGAGGCAUAUUAUAGGAGGUGUACUAUAGGAGGCAUAUUAUAGGAGGUGUAUUAUAGGAGGCGUAUUAUAGGAGGCAUACUAUAGGAGGCGUACUAUAGGAGGCGUAUUAUAGGAGGCAUACUAUAGGAGGUGUACUAUAGGAGGUGUAUUAUAGGAGGCAUAUUAUAGGAGGUGUACUAUAGGAGGCAUAUUAUAGGAGGUGUAUUAUAGGAGGCGUAUUAUAGGAGGCAUAUUAUAGGAGGUGUAUUAUAGGAGGCGUAUUAUAGGAGGUGUACUAUAGGAGGCAUAUUAUAG
Molecule: long non-coding RNA, 338 nt
Organism: Epinephelus fuscoguttatus (brown-marbled grouper)
Lineage: Eukaryota; Metazoa; Chordata; Actinopteri; Perciformes; Serranidae
Exons: 3
Source: RefSeq, a predicted model, not a curated record